RNAcentral lists this ribosomal RNA (531 nucleotides) under Escherichia coli. RNAcentral's name for it is "bacterial SSU rRNA". It matches the Rfam family "Bacterial small subunit ribosomal RNA", at positions 981 to 1512 of the family's 1533-position model. Lineage: Bacteria; Pseudomonadati; Pseudomonadota; Gammaproteobacteria; Enterobacterales; Enterobacteriaceae. The record is from RNAcentral.
UUGACAUCCACGGAAGUUUUCAGAGAUGAGAAUGUGCCUUCGGGAACCGUGAGACAGGUGCUGCAUGGCUGUCGUCAGCUCGUGUUGUGAAAUGUUGGGUUAAGUCCCGCAACGAGCGCAACCCUUAUCCUUUGUUGCCAGCGGUCCGGCCGGGAACUCAAAGGAGACUGCCAGUGAUAAACUGGAGGAAGGUGGGGAUGACGUCAAGUCAUCAUGGCCCUUACGACCAGGGCUACACACGUGCUACAAUGGCGCAUACAAAGAGAAGCGACCUCGCGAGAGCAAGCGGACCUCAUAAAGUGCGUCGUAGUCCGGAUUGGAGUCUGCAACUCGACUCCAUGAAGUCGGAAUCGCUAGUAAUCGUGGAUCAGAAUGCCACGGUGAAUACGUUCCCGGGCCUUGUACACACCGCCCGUCACACCAUGGGAGUGGGUUGCAAAAGAAGUAGGUAGCUUAACCUUCGGGAGGGCGCUUACCACUUUGUGAUUCAUGACUGGGGUGAAGUCGUAACAAGGUAACCGUAGGGGAACC